ACGUUGCGUUAAUGCGUUUACAGUUUACACCCUCACCCCUUCCCCCAACAACCCCCCUACCAAUUCGUGAAUCACUGUACUCUGAAGCAAAGUUAAAUCCCCAAACCAAAACCCUAGGUCCUCCCUGCAACAUUUCUGCCGCACUGCUGCCGCCGUCCGUGCUGUCGGCAUCGUCUGUGGCCAAGCCCUCUCUUGUAGCUCAGCGUCCUCCUUCCCCCUGUCCUCCGUCCGUCCUCCGUGGCUUCUCUGUUUUGUUGGCUUGGAGCAGCUCGCCGUGUCGUCGCUCGCCGUCGUCUCCCCGAUCGCCGUUCGUGUCUCCGUCGAAGCUAUGAAGUUUUGCUCACAUUGGAUAAGGAAAAGCACAAAGUGGAGGGUCGAAAAUAUUAUUAUGUGUUCAACAGUCUUCUAUAUUGCUUGCUUGUUCUGCAUAUAUACUGGUGGGUGAUGAUAUCUCGGAUGCUUGUUAGACAACUUCAAGCAAGAGGAAAAAUUAGUGAUGAUGUUCGAUCUGAUUCAGAAGAUGAAGAUAGCCAUAAGAUUGAGAUGGAAAGCAAGACCAUAAUGUAAUCUUAAGGCAAAGAUGAAUUGUCUUAGCUUCGAAAUUCUUCGGUACUCUUGACCAGGGAUGCUAAACUUUCCAAAUGUUGAUUCAACUUUUUUGAAUGUAUUAAACUAUUGGUCUAUGCAUUCCACCUCCUCGGAUUGAGGUUUGGUGUCCGACAUUUUGUUGUGAUGAUAAUGUCUUUUUUUUUACGUGCUUUGGUAUUUAAUUUCAUCAAUUUAAUUAAGUGUAAAGCACUAGGAACAGGAAUGUUUUCUGGUUAUUUAUUGAAAAGACUUGUUUUAAGA
Molecule: non-coding RNA, 849 nt
Organism: Arachis ipaensis
Lineage: Eukaryota; Viridiplantae; Streptophyta; Magnoliopsida; Fabales; Fabaceae
Source: RefSeq, a predicted model, not a curated record